Molecule: ribosomal RNA, 465 nt
Filed under: uncultured bacterium
Lineage: Bacteria
Description: partial 16S ribosomal RNA
Rfam family: Bacterial small subunit ribosomal RNA
Source: RNAcentral
GACGAACGCUGGCGGCGUGCUUAACACAUGCAAGUCGAACGGAAAGGCCCUGCUUGCAGGGUACUCGAGUGGCGAACGGGUGAGUAACACGCGGGUGUUCUGUGCUGCUCUUCGGGAUAAACCUGGGGAACUCUGUCUCUUAUCGGAUAGGAGCCCUCUUUCGUGUGGUGGUUGGAUGGAUUUUUUGGUGUAGGAUGAGCUCGCGGGCUGUCAGCCUGUUGGUGGGGUAAUGGCCUACCAAGGCGGGGACGGGGAGCCGGCCUGCGGGGGUGGACGGCCACAAUGGGACUGGGAUACGGGCCAGGCUCCUACGGGGAGCAGCAGGGGGGGAUAAUGCAAAAUGGGGGCAAGCCUGAUGCCACGACGCCGCGUGGGGGAUUACGGCCUUCGGGUUGGAAACUCCUUUCGCUAGGUACGAAGCUGUGUGUGACGGUACCUAGAUAAGAAGCACCGGCUAACUACGUG